GCAAGGGCAAGCGCAGAGAGACAUUCGCAUCAACUAGAAGGAAGGCCUUCGGUCUGUGCUUGGUCUGGGUGGUUAUGGAAAUGCUUGGCCCGGGGAGUCCUGGGCGUGUUUGUUCCUAGAUAAGCGCAAUAAUAUGCACGUAUUUUACGCCAACUUACACCCCCUCACCCUCACACAUGCCAUUUCCCUUCCUGUCCAACCC
This 202-nucleotide long non-coding RNA is filed under the name Drosophila guanche. The record is from RNAcentral. Lineage: Eukaryota; Metazoa; Arthropoda; Insecta; Diptera; Drosophilidae.